AAUGAACGUUGGCGGCAUGGAUUAGGCAUGCAAGUCGGGGGAAUCCCAGCAAUGGGGGAACCGGCGUAAGGGGCAGUAAGGCAUGGGUACCUACCUUGGGGUUCGGGAUAGCCAUCAGAGAUGGUGGGUAAUACCGGAUGACGUCGUGAGACCAAAGAUUUAUCGCCCUUAGAGGGGCCCAUGUGAUAUUAGCUAGUUGGUGGGGUAACGGCCCACCAAGGCGAAGAUGUCUAGCGGGUGUGAGAGCACGACCCGCGCCACUCGCACUGAGACACUGGCGAGACACCUACGGGUGGGUGCAGUCGAGGAUCUUCGGCAAUGAGCGCAAGCUUGACCGAGCGAUGCCGCGUGAGCGAUGAAGGCCUUCGGGUUGUAAAGCUCUUUAGGGGGGGAGAAAAGCCGCAAGGUGUGAUCUAUCCCAAAAAUAAGCACGGGCUAAGUUCGUGCCAGCCGCCGCGGUAA
This 462-nucleotide ribosomal RNA is filed under the name uncultured bacterium. RNAcentral's name for it is "partial 16S ribosomal RNA". It matches the Rfam family "Bacterial small subunit ribosomal RNA", at positions 29 to 523 of the family's 1533-position model. The record is from RNAcentral.